This is a non-coding RNA of Acanthosepion pharaonis, 112 nucleotides long. The record is from the annotation of a GenBank genome assembly. NCBI's taxonomy places the organism in Eukaryota, Metazoa, Mollusca, Cephalopoda, Sepiida, Sepiidae.
UACGGCCGCAUCACGUUGGAACACUAGUUCUUAUACAAUCACCAAAAUUAAGCAACAUUGAGCCUGGUCAGUACCCAAAUGGGUGACUGCUUGGGAAUAGCAGGUGCUGUAA